Cyprinus carpio carpio is the source of this 2409-nucleotide long non-coding RNA. The record is from Ensembl. NCBI's taxonomy places the organism in Eukaryota, Metazoa, Chordata, Actinopteri, Cypriniformes, Cyprinidae.
AACUCUCUUGAUAUUAAUAUACUAAUGAAUAGUUAAAAAUCUCAAACUAUUGUCUCUUUUCUCUUGUUAGCAGUGCCGUACUUUCUCUAGACACACGUCUGUUUAGCAGUUACGCCUACUUAAACACACACACACACACACAGGCUCUCUUACACGCACUUGCCAUGUCUGACCCCCAGGUCACGCUGAAGUGACUUUGUGCCCUGUUUGUAACUGGGCCUCUUUGAAAGCGGGCCUCGCAUUCCUGCUCCGUCGGACGGGGGAUGUCCUGCUUAUUCCCAGCGAGUAGGAAGUUUCUGCCAUUAGGGAUUAUGUGCCGUUUCCUCACCCAGAAGCUUUCGGCUUGUCCCCUCCCACUCUUGAAAAAGCAGCGACUUCAGAAACUAGAAAACGGUACAAAUUAAAUACCUGCCUCUCUGUCCACCAGCCUCAGCCUUUUAGCCCCGCUCGUCUGCGCUUGUGCGAUUGCUGGGAGGAGGCAGCCGUGUUCUGUCCGCUUUUGUGUGGUUGUACAGAAGUGCUGCGGUUGGGAGGAGGAGGAGGAGGUGGAGGGGAACAGCUGCUCCCCACACAGAAGCCGGUUUCCCAGCCUGACAGGCAGCGAGAGGCAGCCAGUGCCGGGGCUGUUUUCCCGGGGGCCCUCGGGUUGGUUCGCCAGCCUCCGCAGCUAGGAGGGGAAUUUUUAUGGCGGUGACGAAAAUACAAAAUGGACCAGAGCAAGUAGGAUUCUUUCCUUCACAAGGCCAGGCGCUCGUGUUCUCCCACAAAAAUCAGGAGUAGAUAUGGAUACGUCUCCAGUGAAACUUGACCAGGUUUCUCUCAGCCGAUGGGACUCCAGUGGAACCCGCGGCUGCUCUGAGCGUCUUCCUCCAGUCAGAGCUUUUAACCCGUCGGAUGGCGGUUAGCGGUGGCCGCAGGUGCUCCCUUUACCUGCAUGAAAAACUGUGUAUAGAAGGAAGAUGUUAUUUUCAGCUUGCAGGUAACUUGCAGGUUCACUUGAUAUAGUUAUGCACAUUCUUACUAUUUACUAGGAUAUGUCAUAAAAAAAUACCAUUAUACAAAACAUAUAAUUACUAAUUUUAAUAUAUAUAUAUAUAUAUAUAUAUAUAUAUAUAUAUGUAUAUAUAUAUAUGUAUGUAUGUAUGUAUACUGUAUAUAUAUAAUAUUUGUUUCUUGUCAAUUUAUGCAGUAAGUUUAUCUUGUUUUAAAGAUGUUUAGAUAUUUUUACUGCAAAACAAAACAAAUAUACUGAUUAAAAAUGUAUAUUUCUAUAUUCUGUGCAAUGAAGCAGUGUGUGUGUAUAAGUUUGCAGUAGAAGUUUCAGCAGGCGAGUCUGACACACAAAUACACUCCCGCAUUAAAAGAGGCGGAGAACAGAGACAGAUCCCUUGACCUUCUGUUUUCACAUACUGUCACUGUCUAGUGACACACACACUCAGAUCACAAAUGCCCAUUAGUCUUUUUAUCCCUUGCAUAUCUGUAUAUUUAAAUGCUGUAAAUGUUUAAGACUUUCUAAUAAAUUGUUUAUAUUAUUGUAUUAAUUCUUGUCUCAUUUUUGGUAUAUCUCUCUUCUCACACAUGAAAUCAUUAACCUAACACACUUUUUAGUACUCCCUCCAUAUGUGUAAGUGCAAUAUUUUCACAAAUUAAGAAAACAAUCACAAAGAAACCUGGAUGUAGUUUGCUGUUCUGUGUUCCAUGUUAAAGGUUGUAGCAGCAGCAUCACAGCAUUAGUUACAUGUGUGAAAGUGUGUGCGUAAAACCUUGCUUGCUUUGGGAAGUGUGUGUGCGACCCUGUGUGCUUGCAGACGUGAGUAUGUGUGUGUGUGUGUGUGUGUCUUUACCCAUAGAGCGGCCAGCCAGGCUGCAGAUAUCAUCCAUCUCCUUGUCACAAAGCGCCAGGGUUGCUGGGUAGGCAGCAGACAGCCGCUCGGCGCUGAGGAUGGGAGCUGAAUCCUAAUUCCGCCACUGCUCUCCCCCGCCUCCCACGACGGAAAAUCGUUAACCUCAGGAUUGGAGAACAAAGCAGAGAGCUUUAGCCAGCUAGCUGCUGUUAACGCAAAACGCCCCAACCACAUAUUAAACAAGUCUCCGAGAGACAUGCUGAAAUCAUGUAUGUUCAGAUUUAAAGCCUUCAGACCUGCUGUGGUUUUUGAAGAGUAUAGCUCUUCUUCAAAACCCAGUGAGCUGCCUACAUAGUCAGCUGUCUUUUAAGACAACAGUGGAAUCUCAUAAGUGACUGAUUUGAAACAUAAGGUAUGUUCAAGUCAAGUUCAUAUUUAUGAAUUGGGAAGUCAUCAGGUUUCGACAUCAGGUCAUUUGUUCAGAGCCAAAAAAAGAACCAACAAAAAAAACUUUUAAACUCUACUUUUACAAAAUGGUGAAUAAAGAAUGUGCAUGUUUUUGCUG